GAUGAAGUACGUAGCGAAAUGCGAUAAGUAAUGUGAAUUGCAGAAUUCAGUGAAUCAUCGAAUCUUUGAACGCACAUUGCGCCCGCCAGUAUUCUGGCGGGCAUGCCUGUUCGAGCGUCAUUACAACCCUCAGGCCCCCGGGCCUGGCGUUGGGGAUCGGCGGAGCCCCCCGUGGGCACACGCCGUCCCCCAAAUGCAGUGGCGGUCCCGCCGCAGCUUCCAUCGCGUAGUAGCUAACACCUCGCGACUGGAGAGCGGCGCGGCCACGCCGUAAAACACCCAACUCUUCUGAAGUUGACCUCGAAUCAGGUAGGAAUACCCGCUGAACUUAAGCAUAUCAAUAAGCGGAGG
RNAcentral lists this unclassified non-coding RNA (351 nucleotides) under soil metagenome. RNAcentral's name for it is "partial contains 5.8S ribosomal RNA, internal transcribed spacer 2, and large subunit ribosomal RNA". The stretch from base 1 to 120 matches the Rfam family "5.8S ribosomal RNA", at positions 35 to 154 of the family's 154-position model. The record is from RNAcentral.